RNAcentral lists this ribosomal RNA (468 nucleotides) under uncultured bacterium. RNAcentral describes it as "partial 16S ribosomal RNA". It matches the Rfam family "Bacterial small subunit ribosomal RNA", at positions 28 to 507 of the family's 1533-position model. The record is from RNAcentral.
GACGAACGCUGGCGGCGUGCUUAAUACAUGCAAGUCGAGCGGACAGGCCCUGCUUUUGUUGGUUGCACGAGUGGCGAACGGGUGAGUAUCACGUGUGUAUACUGCACUUGUCUUUGGGAUAACUUCAGGAGACAGGGGCUCAUAUCGGGUAGGAGCUACUGCUGCAUGGGGUGCGUUGGUAAGUUUCGGCCGUUUGGGAUAGACUCGCGGCUUAUGAGCUUCUUGGGGGAGUAGUGGAUUACCAAGGGUGUGACGGCUAGGCGACCUUGGAGGGGUAACGGCGUCAUGGGGACUGAGAGACGGAGCAGACGCCUACGUGAGGCAGCAGGGGGGAAUAUGGCAGAAUGGGCGGAAGCCAGAGACAGCAGCGCUGCGUGCGUGAUGACGUGCUUCGGGGUGUAAACCGCUUUCGCCGGAGACGAAGAGUGAGUGACGGUAAUUGAUAAAGAAGCAACGGCUAACUACGUG